GACGAACGCUGGCGGUAUGCUUAACACAUGCAAGUCGAACGAGACGAGAUGGAAGGAUCCUUCGGGUGACGGAAAUCUUAGAAAGUGGCGAACGGGUAAGUAACGCGUGGGUAACCUGCCCUAUGGAAAGGAAUAGCCUCGGGAAACUGGGAGUAAUGCCUUAUAAUACAUUGAAGUCGCAUGGCUUUGAUGUUAAACGCUCCGGUGCCAUAGGAUGGACCCGCGUCCCAUUAGCCAGUUGGUGAGAUAACAGCCCACCAAGGCGACGAUGGGUAACCGGUCUGAGAGGGCGAACGGUCACACUGGAACUGAGACACGGUCCAGACUCCUACGGGAGGCAGCAGUGGGGAAUAUUGCGCAAUGGGGGAAACCCUGACGCAGCAAUACCGCGUGAGUGAAGAAGGUUUUCGGAUCGUAAGCUCUGUUAUUGGGGAAGAAAAAAGACGGUACCCAAGAAGAAAGUCCCGGCUAACUACGUGCCAGCCGCCGCCGUAA
This 495-nucleotide ribosomal RNA is filed under the name uncultured bacterium. Its description in RNAcentral is "partial 16S ribosomal RNA". It matches the Rfam family "Bacterial small subunit ribosomal RNA", at positions 28 to 523 of the family's 1533-position model. The record is from RNAcentral.